AUGGAGAGCGUGUGCACAGGGUUAGUGUUGCUGCCAAGCUCAUCCUCGCCACUCUUGGUUUCAGGAGCUCUGGAAGCAAAGCGGAAUAGAUUCACAUUAUCUGGGCAGGACACGCCCGCCACGGCUGUUUGUGGAUCUCUGGAAGCAUCUACAGCCACCCACCCUCCCACCCGGGAGUCCGAGCCCCGGCCAGGUGCCCCCACGGAGACCCUGCCCAGAGGCCCCAGGAUGGCCCAGGAGCUGAGGCCAGUACAGUGUCUGCAGAGCAGCCGGGAGGAGGAUGGACCAGACCUCGCCGGUGCAGGUAGAUGCCAGCUCUUUUUGUAUCUCUGGGUACUGGGCUGGGAUGCGGUUGUCCCAGCAGGGAUGGGGACUCCAAGAGCUGAGUUCAGAGACAGUUCCGCCUCGUGUCCUCGACAUCCUAGGGGAGAGACCGGGUGCGGGGUCUCCCUUACCGGAGUUUGGAUUUUCUCUUCCGUGCUCCUUAGGGCUCCCAAAUCGUGGUUUCAUCAACAUCCCUGGUUCUCGAUACCCUCUCCUGCUGUGCUUCCGGGCUGCCUUUGUUUAUCUAUUUACCUCUGCACUCUCCUGUCUUCAUUCAUUCAUUCAUUUAAAAACAAGAUGUAACGGAUAUUCUUGAGUCCAGAGGGGGUCAUUUCUGGGUUUUUGCGGAUGUCAACGCGCUGUGUCCCGGGCGCACGUGUGUGGAUCUCUCGGGCUGGGCCACAAGGAGCCAGGCCGCUGUGUGUGGGACGAUGGCACCGCCGUCUUCCCUCUCCCACUCCCUCCAGCCACAGACGCGCUGUGGACAACACCCCCACCCCAAGGCGUCCUCAGACAUCUCCUGAGGGCUUCUGCAUGGUGCUUCCCUGAGGCAAGGCGAGGCUGUGCCCUCCUUGGUUAAUUGCCGUGUGUGGAACCCUGAGGCUUUGGCUGCUGGGCCUUGAGGCCUGGGCCAGGUCAGACCCUUUGGCUGGGCUUGGACAUUCGGUGACCUCUGUGAUGCGUUUUUAUGGCCCCGUCCUGAAGCCACCCCUUAGGCCACAGGUUCGUCAGCAAGACCCUCCAGAGGGCUGUGGUCAAGGCUCUGUCCCGCCCCCAUCACUGCCCUACAGGAUGGGAGACUUGAGACCCCCAGCCCAGCCCGCCCCGGGAGCCAACCACAGUGAGGGCAGUGGGUCCAAAGCACCGCAUGUUAUUGGGCCGAGCUGGAGAGUAGAUGAGCAGACAGGGGACUGCUGGGGGCCCGGGGACAGCUGGCCCAUCCCCCAAGCUCUGGACUUUGAUCUGGGACCUCCAUCUGCGGGACAACCCCAAUACCGACCUGUUUCUCAUGUGGUAGGCUCUGGUGGAGGGAAGGGACUGGCCAGGGACUUUAGGGUCACUGAGCCCUCUGAAGGGCUUCCAGACACUGGCAGGUAAGGACAGGGUGGUCAGGCCACAAAGCAGGCCAGGCAGGGACUACUGCCCCACCCUGUCUGAGGACCUGCUCUGCUGUUGCCUUGAGCCAGCUAAACAGAGUUCCUGAUCACAGAGGCCAGGCCAUUGUCAGGGAGGAAUGGCUAAGGGCCUUGGACAAGUGAGUUUCCCUGCUCCAUGCCUCAGUUUCCUCAUUUGGGAAAUGGGAAGAAAGCUAAUGGGAGUGUCUGGCUCACGGGGCAGGUGUGGGGAUUAACUCAGCCAGGACCCGAGCAUGUUUGUGACAGGCCUUGGUACCCUCAGUGUUCAGGGUGCAGGCUGGAACCAGUGAGUUGGGAUUUGUUUGUGAUUUCUGAUGCUCAGCUCUGGUGGCAGCUCAGGCUGGGUCCACACUCACCUGUCACUCAGGACGUCCCCAGGGGAGGCUCAGGAAGAGGAGGACACCAGUGUUCCCCUGUGCCUGGGGUAGUCCGGGUGCCCCUGUUUGGCAAUGCGUCCUCCCGGGCCUGGGGGCUCACGGGUCAGUGGAGGGCUCCGAGGAGGAGGCAGCUUGCCUGGUUCUCACCGUUUCUCUCCCACAGCUUUGGGCAGAGUCCUGCCACAGGAGAGGCCUUAGGAAACCAGAGUCCUCCGGAGCAGAACAAGGCCCAGAUGGACUCCUAGGCGGAGUUUGGCUGUGGUUGGGGGAGCAGGCCCAUCCACUUCUUAUCUGAGGGACCUUUGGCAAAUUAAUGAGCCAUCCUGAGCCUCUGUCCUCACGUCUGUAAGUGGGAGCCAUGAUAGUAGGUGUUAGUAGAGCUUUCGUGGCAGCCACGUGAGCUGAUGCUUGUAAGAUGCUUGAAGAGGUCUGGACACCGAGGAAGAACCAAGUCCGCCUUUUCCCCACUCAUGUCAGGACACAUGUCCUCCUCCGUCAGUGAAACAGUGUCCUGCAGGCCAGAGAGGCUGAGCAAUCUGCCUCCACUCACCCAGCACUGAGCGAGGGGGAUGGGGCUUGAACCCUGAAGUCUGGCUCCCACACCGAACUCACCCCUGGCUCACCAGGCUGCUUCCCUGAGUGCUGGGAGGCUGAGGAGUUCGAGACCGGCCUGGGCCACCCCCAGUUGAAACUCUGUCUCUACAAAAAUACAAAAUUUAGCCGGGCAUGGUGGCAUGUACCUGUGGUCCCAGCUACUCGAGUGGCUGAGGUGGGGGGAUCACUUGAUUCCAGGAGGUUGAGGCGGCUGCAAUGAGCCGUGAUUGUGCCACCACACCCCAGCCUAGGCAACAGAGCAAGACUCCGUCUCAAAAAUAUUUGUUUUAAUUAAAAAAAAAGUUUAAAACUAAUUCAGGAGUUUUCAGAGUGACAUUUCCAAAAGGAGCCCUUUUUGGAGACCUUUGGGGAUGUGACCUGGGUCACAUCUGAGUCCCUGGGACCUGGUCACUCCUGAGUCCCUGGUCCCAGUGGCCACCAGGUCCCUGGAAAGAACCUGUCUCAUCAGCAGGUCCUUGCUGUGACUCACUGUGUAACAGCGAGGGAAGUUGGGGGCGAGGGCCUGAGAGUCUGGUGGUGCUGAGAAGGGUGCAGAGGUUGUGGAGGAGCCCCGCGAGUGUCCCUGCAACAACGGCUGACCUGGCAAGCCAGGAGCCCCUGCCCUGUGGCCGGGAAGGGGCAGGUAGGGCAGGGCCAGGGCACGAACCUGCGCCUGCCAGCUGCUCCUUGUCAGGCUGCUGCCAAGUCCGGGCAGUUCCCCAGCUAGAGACCCACCAAGAGAGUGUCCCGCAGUCAGGCCCCGCCUGGGCAGCCACUGCUGCUCAGAAACGUGACAGUGACUAAUGGUUUAUUACACACCUGCCACCUCUCAUCCGGCAGGCGGGCGGGCGCAGUCUCCCGGGCCCAGCUGUGCACUGCCAGCUGGGCGGUGGGGCGCGUGCAGGGGGAGGGGGCACGUCCAGACACGCAGACGCACGAGACAGACACAGACACAGCACAUACACGCACACACACACAGAGGAAAGCAGGCACUCAGAGACAUAGCCCACAUACACGGCAUAGGCACGAGCGCACGCAUAGGCCACACACACGCACACACGCACACACACACACACAGGAAAGCAGGCACUCAGAGACAGCCCACAGACACGGCAUAGGCACGGGUACACGCAUAGGCCACACACACACACAGAUAUGCAGACACACGGGCAGACCCAGCACAUAUGCAGAUACACACAAAGAAACCCGUGACGCACACACACCUGCAUAGAUUUUUCCCAAGCACACAAUAUACACGUGGAUAUACAGACUCACAGGCACAGGGCCAUAUACAGGCAGACACAGAGCCUGUCUGCACCGCACACAUACCACACACAGCCACACACACAGAAGCCAAACAUCCUCACACAGGUGGAUACACACACAGACUCACAAACACAUAUGCAGUACACACAUGGAUACAUACACAGAGUCCCCCCACAAGCACACAGACACACACAGGUACAGAGACACACAGAGACAGGCACAGACCCCCCACACACACAGGUACACACAGGCAUCAAGAUUGUCUCACACACACACGUAAGCACACACCACAGAAACACACACAGGAGUCACAUUCCAAAUGCCCAUCCCCACCACAGCCCCGUCUCCCUCUUCCCAGGCCACGGCCCCGGGGGCACUGACGCUCUCUGCCCUCCCUGUCUCUCUGGCGCCUGACAUGGUGGUCCCACCCUGGCACUGGCUGGGGCAGGGGCCUUUCCCAGCGGUGGGGGUGGCCAGGGCAAGUGGAGGAACUGUAACCGCCCAGGGCAGUCCAUUUCUGACCCCCACUUCCCUGGAAAUGCCUUGUGCGUGGGGACAGCAGCUUUUGCCAGGGAAAGGAAGCAGGUACAGGAGGAGCCUGUGCUGAGCUGGGACCUGGGCCGAGUGCCCCAGGGAAGCACAUGGCCGUCAGCUGCCUUGGUCUCCCCCAGAGGCAGGGGUUGUGUCUGUUGUGGAAGGCGGUGAUGAGUUUUGGUAACACUGGGUUCCCUGCUGUCCCAGACUCCCAGGCCAGCCCACAGAGCUUAUCAGACUUGUGUCACUACGGUCGGAUGGGGCUACCGCCGUGUCCAGAGUGGGGCCACUCCCGGGCAAAGGCUCCUGGUGGCUGGCCAGGCUCUUACCUUGUGGGCAGCUUUGGUUCCCAGGUGUUGCAUUUGCAGUGGCCAUCUGAGAAGUGGCCUCUUGCUGGCUGCGGGGAGCACAGCUCCAGGACGGGGGACUCGGCCCUUCUGUGAAGGCCUUGGGGACCCCUGGGGCUGGGAUUCCUCUGGCAGGCAAGGCCCAAAUGGACUGAGCAGGCAUCUCCAGCUGCUGGGAGAAGGGUGCAACGGAAACCUUGUGAUGUGUGUCCUUCCCUCUUGGGGCGGGCGAGCACUCGAGCUCAUCUCUUUCCAGUACUCUUCGGCCUUUAGUCAAAUGAAGACCCAUUUCUCAUGUGCCAUCGCGUGCAGUAUAGAAUCUAUUGAGAGGACACUGCUAAUUUAUCACCAGCGGAUGGGAACAGGCUUCCCUAGAGCAAGUAUCUUUGUGUUGCCUGCAGCCACCUUGGGAGAGAAGCAGCACUGGUUGGUGAUAGGAGGGAGGGGCCUGGACUCAGGUCCAAGUUUCUAAGUCCUAGCAUUGCUACUUCCCGGCCACGGAGCCUUCUCAAGGUUCAGGACCUUUCCUGGGCUCUGCUGCUCUGACUACUGAAUAGGCAUGGUAAAAAUAAAAUCCUUCUGGUAGCAUGGUGUCAGUGAUACUGGAUGAACACUGAGACGGCACUGAGGGCUGCCAUGCAGGGCUGUGCAGCGUGCACACUGCACAACUCCAGGAGGCGUCCACACACAGCAGAGGAAGGAGGGAGUGAGGGUAAUCAAGAGAAUGAAAGCACUGAGCUGUUUUCCCACCAGAGGGUGCAGUUGCAAAAGCCUGAUUUUCCCAUGCGGUGCCUCAGUUUACCCAUAGGUACUGUCACCACCAGUUGCCCUCUGUUGGCCACCUGAGGAAAGGAAAACCAGCCUCUCCCUGUGGUCUGGGAC
This 5460-nucleotide long non-coding RNA is filed under the name Cercocebus atys (sooty mangabey). Its description in RNAcentral is "lncRNA (ENSCATG00000045714.1)". Lineage: Eukaryota; Metazoa; Chordata; Mammalia; Primates; Cercopithecidae. The record is from RNAcentral.